Molecule: ribosomal RNA, 508 nt
Filed under: uncultured bacterium
Lineage: Bacteria
Description: bacterial SSU rRNA
Rfam family: Bacterial small subunit ribosomal RNA
Source: RNAcentral
AGAGUUUGAUCAUGGCUCAGGACGAACGCUGGCGGCGUGCUUAACACAUGCAAGUCGAACGAUGAAGCACCAGCUUGCUGGUGUGGAUUAGUGGCGAACGGGUGAGUAACACGUGAGUAACCUGCCCCUCACUCUGGGAUAAGCCUGGGAAACUGGGUCUAAUACUGGAUACGACCGAUCUCCGCAUGGAGUGUUGGUGGAAAGUUUUUGUGGUGGGGGAUGGACUCGCGGCCUAUCAGCUUGUUGGUGGGGUAAUGGCCUACCAAGGCGACGACGGGUAGCCGGCCUGAGAGGGCGACCGGCCACACUGGGACUGAGACACGGCCCAGACUCCUACGGGAGGCAGCAGUGGGGAAUAUUGCACAAUGGGCGAAAGCCUGAUGCAGCGACGCCGCGUGAGGGAUGACGGCCUUCGGGUUGUAAACCUCUUUCACCAGGGACGAAGCUAACGUGACGGUACCUGGAGAAGAAGCACCGGCUAACUACGUGCCAGCCGCCGCGGUAAUAC